AGUAUACUGUAUAUAUGUAGGAUGCAUUCUAGUUCUUAUAUUAGUUGUAGAAUUGAAUAUCAUGCCAUCAGAUGCCAUGACACUGUACUGUAAAGAGCCUAUAGUCCUAGCUAAAGAGCCUAGGUCCCACCAGAAGUCCAAGAAUAUAGAGCAGCAGUAUACGCAAUUACCUCGAGUAGAAAUACACAGAGAUGUAGAGAGUAGACUCCACAUGAUAUGUGGUAGGCCCAAGUCAUUUAGCCAGCCA
Molecule: long non-coding RNA, 247 nt
Filed under: Elaeis guineensis (African oil palm)
Lineage: Eukaryota; Viridiplantae; Streptophyta; Magnoliopsida; Arecales; Arecaceae
Description: long non-coding RNA (EGUI_LNC036267)
Source: RNAcentral